CGUAGGCAACCUGCCUUGUAGACUGGGAUAACUUGCGGAAACGUGAGCUAAUACCGGAUAAGACCUCUUAUCACCUGAUAAGAGGAUAAAAGAUGGCGCAAGCUAUCACUUAUAGAUGGGCCCGCGGCGCAUUAGCUAGUUGGUGAGAUAAAAGCUCACCAAGGCAACGAUGCGUAGCCGACCUGAGAGGGUGAUCGGCCACACUGGGACUGAGACACGGCCCAGACUCCUACGGGAGGCAGCAGUAGGAAAUCUUCCGCAAUGGACGAAAGUCUGACGGAGCAACGCCGCGUGAACGAAGAAGGUUUUCGGAUCGUAAAGUUCUGUUGUUAGGGAAGAACACGUACCAUUCGAAUAGGGUGGUACCUUGACGGUACCUAACGAGAAAGCCCCGGCUAACUACGUGCCAGCAGCCGCGGUAAUACGUAGGGGGCAAGCGUUGUCCGGAAUUAUUGGGCGUAAAGCGCGCGCAGGCGGUUCUUUAAGUCUGAUGUGAAAUCUUGCGGCUCAACCGCAAGCGGUCAUUGGAAACUGGAGAACUUGAGGACAGAAGAGGAGAGUGGAAUUCCACGUGUAGCGGUGAAAUGCGUAGAUAUGUGGAGGAACACCAGUGGCGAAGGCGACUCUCUGGUCUGUAACUGACGCUGAGGCGCGAAAGCGUGGGUAGCAAACAGGAUUAGAUACCCUGGUAGUCCACGCCGUAACGAUGAGUGCUAGGUGUUAGGGGGUUUCCGCCCCUUAGUGCUGGCGUUAACGCAUUAAGCACUCCGCCUGGGG
Molecule: ribosomal RNA, 777 nt
Filed under: uncultured Amphibacillus sp.
Lineage: Bacteria; Bacillati; Bacillota; Bacilli; Caryophanales; Bacillaceae
Description: bacterial SSU rRNA
Rfam family: Bacterial small subunit ribosomal RNA
Source: RNAcentral